GAUGAACGCUGGCGGCGUGCCUAAUACAUGCAAGUCGAGCGAACAGACGAGGAGCUUGCUCCUCUGACGUUAGCGGCGGACGGGUGAGUAACACGUGGAUAACCUACCUAUAAGACUGGGAUAACUUCGGGAAACCGGAGCUAAUACCGGAUAAUAUAUUGAACCGCAUGGUUCAAUAGUGAAAGACGGUUUUGCUGUCACUUAUAGAUGGAUCCGCGCCGCAUUAGCUAGUUGGUAAGGUAACGGCUUACCAAGGCAACGAUGCGUAGCCGACCUGAGAGGGUGAUCGGCCACACUGGAACUGAGACACGGUCCAGACUCCUACGGGAGGCAGCAGUAGGGAAUCUUCCGAAAUGGGCGAAAGCAUGACGGAGCAACGCCGCGUGAGUGAUGAAGGUCUUCGGAUCGUAAAACUCUGUUAUUAGGGAAGAACAAAUGUGUAAGUAACUAUGCACGUAUUGACGGUAACUAAUCAGAAAGCCACGGCUAACUACGUG
Molecule: ribosomal RNA, 497 nt
Filed under: uncultured bacterium
Lineage: Bacteria
Description: partial 16S ribosomal RNA
Rfam family: Bacterial small subunit ribosomal RNA
Source: RNAcentral